This is a long non-coding RNA of Schistocerca gregaria, 1525 nucleotides long. RefSeq lists it as uncharacterized. NCBI's taxonomy places the organism in Eukaryota, Metazoa, Arthropoda, Insecta, Orthoptera, Acrididae. The transcript has 2 exons. The record is from RefSeq and is a predicted model, not a curated record.
AGAUUAAUGGUAAUUCUGAGUAACUAUGUUCUGCAGGAGGGUUAUUUUGUAGUCAUUCUGUUGAUCCUCUUAUGUUAGCUCUAAAUAUAAUUGCUCGGUUUGUAAUCAUUCUUUCUCAUAUAAUUACAAUGAAUAUAAUGAUUCCUACAAUAGAAAUUGUAGACCCAAUUCUUGAUACUACGUUUCAUGAUGUAUAUGCGUCUGGGUAGUCAGAGUAUCGUCGAGGUAUUCCUGCUAAUCCUAGGAAGUGUUGAGGAAAGAAUGUUAAAUUUACUCCAAUGAAUAUAAUUGUAAAUUGGAUUUUUAAUCAUGUAUUAUUUAUAGUUAAUCCUGUAAAUAGUGGAUAUCAUUGAAUGACACCUCCUAUAAUUGCAAAUACUGCUCCUAUAGAUAAUACAUAAUGAAAGUGGGCUACUACAUAAUAUGUAUCAUGUAAUACAAUAUCAAGUGAUGAAUUUGCUAAUACUAAUCCUGUUAAUCCACCAAUUGUAAAUAGGAAAAUAAAUCCUAGAGCUCAUAAUAAUGGUGGAUUGAACUUGAAUUUAGUUCCAUAAAAUGUAGCUAAACAUCUAAAUACCUUAAUUCCUGUAGGUACAGCAAUAAUUAUUGUUGCUGAUGUAAAAUAUGCUCGUGUGUCAACAUCCAUUCCUACUGUAAAUAUAUGAUGUGCUCAUACAAUAAAUCCUAUUAGUCCAAUUGAUAGUAUAGCAUAAAUUAUACCUAAUGUUCCAAAUGAUUCAAUUUUUCCUCUUUCUUGACAUACAAUAUGUGAAAUAAUUCCGAACCCCGGUAGAAUUAAAAUAUAAACUUCUGGGUUUCCAAAGAAUCAAAAUAGAUGUUGAUAUAGAAUUGGGUCACCCCCUCCUGCAGGGUCAAAGAAUGAUGUAUUUAAAUUUCGAUCUGUUAAUAAUAUAGUAAUAGCUCCUGCUAAAACUGGAAGUGAAAGAAGGAGAAGUAAUGCUGUAAUAGCUACAGAUCAUACAAAUAAAGGUGUUUGAUCUAAAGUUAUACUUUCUGAUCGUAUAUUAAUUGCUGUUGUAAUGAAAUUCACUGCACCAAGAAUAGAUGAUACACCUGCUAAGUGCAGUGAAAAAAUAGCUAGAUCUACAGAUGCACCCCCGUGUGCAAUAGCUCCUGCUAGAGGAGGGUAAACUGUUCAUCCUGUACCAGCACCAUUAUCUACUAUAGAAGAUGUAAGAAGAAGGGUUAGUGAAGGUGGUAGUAAUCAAAAACUUAUAUUAUUUAUUCGUGGAAAUGCUAUAUCUGGUGCACCAAUUAUUAGUGGAACAAGUCAAUUACCAAAUCCACCAAUUAUAAUAGGUAUUACUAUAAAGAAAAUUAUUACGAAUGCGUGAGCUGUAAUAAUAACAUUAUAAAUCUGGUCAUCCCCAAUUAGAGAUCCGGGUUGGCCAAGUUCAGCACGAAUAAGUAUUCUUAUUGAUGUUCCUACUAUUCCUGCUCAUGCUCCAAAUAUGAAGUAUAAAGUACCAAUGUCCUUAUGGUUUGUUGAGAAUAAUCAUUUUUG